RNAcentral lists this ribosomal RNA (218 nucleotides) under uncultured bacterium. Its description in RNAcentral is "partial 16S ribosomal RNA". It matches the Rfam family "Bacterial small subunit ribosomal RNA", at positions 1283 to 1500 of the family's 1533-position model. The record is from RNAcentral.
GUUACUCAGUUCAGAUUGCAGGCUGNAACCCGCCUGCAUGAAGUCGGAAAUUGCUAGUAAUCGCGGAUCAGCAUGCCGCGGUGAAUACGUUCCCGGGCCUUGUACACACCGCCCGUCACACCAUGGGAGCCGGUAAUACCCGAAGUCAGUAGUCCAACCUCGUGAGGACGCUGCCGAAGGUAGGAUUGGCGACUGGGGUGAAGUCGUAACAAGGUAGC